Molecule: ribosomal RNA, 326 nt
Filed under: uncultured eukaryote
Lineage: Eukaryota
Description: partial 18S ribosomal RNA
Rfam family: Eukaryotic small subunit ribosomal RNA
Source: RNAcentral
CCCUUAGAUGUUCUGGGCCGCACGCGCGCUACACUGAUGCAUUCAACGAGUUCCUACCUUGGCCGAGUGGCCUGGGCAAUCUUUUGAACUUGCAUCGUGAUAGGGAUAGAUUAUUGCAAUUAUUAAUCUUGAACGAGGAAUUCCUAGUAAACGCAGAUCAUCAAUCUGCAUUGAUUACGUCCCUGCCCUUUGUACACACCGCCCGUCGCACCUACCGAUUGAAUGGUCCGGUGAAGCCUCGGGAUUGUGGUUAGUUUCCUUCAUUGGAAGUUAGCCGCGAGAACUUGUCUAAACCUUAUCAUUUAGAGGAAGGUGAAGUCGUAACA